UGACAAGAGCCCCAUGAGCAGCUACUGUA
RNAcentral lists this non-coding RNA (29 nucleotides) under Rattus norvegicus (Norway rat). The record is from RNAcentral. Lineage: Eukaryota; Metazoa; Chordata; Mammalia; Rodentia; Muridae.